This 358-nucleotide ribosomal RNA is filed under the name Icaridion debile. RNAcentral's name for it is "partial 12S ribosomal RNA". The record is from RNAcentral. Lineage: Eukaryota; Metazoa; Arthropoda; Insecta; Diptera; Coelopidae.
CUUGAGUAGUAUUAGUUAUGUUCUUGAAACUUAAAAAAUUUGGCGGUAUUUUAGUCUAUUCAGAGGAACCUGUUCUAUAAUCGAUAAUCCACGAUGGACCUCACUUUAACUUGUUUUUCAGUUUAUAUACCGUCGUUAUCAGAGAAUCUUAUAAGAGUAAUAGUUCUCUAAAAUUUUUAUUAGAAUUUAUAUCAGAUCAAGGUGUAGCUUAUGUUAAAGUAGAAAUGGGUUACAAUAAAUUUAUUUAUAUGGAAGAAAAUAUGAAAAGUUUUCUGAAAGUGGAUUUGAUAGUAAAGUUAUAUAGAUUAUUAGCUUGAUUUUAGCUCUAAAAUAUGUACACAUCGCCCGUCGCUCUUAA